GACGAACGCUGGCGGCGUGCUUAACACAUGCAAGUCGAACGGAAAGACCCUGCUUUUGUGGGGUUCUCGAGUGGCGAACGGGUGGGUAACACGUGAGUAACCUGCCCUUGACUUUGUGAUAACUUCAGGAAACUGGGGCUAAUACCGGAUAGGAUCUCCUGCUGCAUGGUGGGGGUUGGAAAGUUUCGGCGGUGGUGGAUGGACUCGAGGCUUAUCAGCUGGUUGGUGGGGUAGUGGCUUACCAAGGCUUUGACGGGUAGCCGGCCUGGGAGGGUGACCGGCGACAUUGGGACUGAGGUAGGGCCCAGAAUCGUACGGGCGGCAGCAGUGGGAAAUAUUGCACAAUGGGCGGAAGCCUGAUGCAACGACGCCGCGUGCGGAAUGACGGACUUCGGGUUGUAAACAGAUUUCGACUGUGACGAAGCGUGAGUGACGGUAAUGGGUAAAGAAGCACCGGCUAACUACGUG
This 468-nucleotide ribosomal RNA is filed under the name uncultured bacterium. RNAcentral describes it as "partial 16S ribosomal RNA". It matches the Rfam family "Bacterial small subunit ribosomal RNA", at positions 28 to 507 of the family's 1533-position model. The record is from RNAcentral.